UACGUAGGUGGCAAGCGUUGUCCGGAUUUACUGGGCGUAAAGGGCGUGCAGGCGGUUUGUUAAGUGCAGGGUGAAAGCUCCCGGCUCAACUGGGAGAGGUCCUUGCAUACUGGCGAGCUCGAGGGAGGCAGAGGAAAGUGGAAUUCCCGGUGUAGUGGUGAUAUGCGUAGAUAUCGGGAGGAACACCUGUGGCGAAGCCGGCUUUCUGGGCCUUACCUGACGCUGAGACGCGAAAGCGUGGGGAGCGAACCGG
RNAcentral lists this ribosomal RNA (253 nucleotides) under uncultured bacterium. RNAcentral describes it as "partial 16S ribosomal RNA". It matches the Rfam family "Bacterial small subunit ribosomal RNA", at positions 524 to 776 of the family's 1533-position model. The record is from RNAcentral.